CAGUAGCCGCGGGAAUACAGAGGAUGCAAGCGUUAUCCGGAAUGAUUGGGCGUAAAGCGUCUGUAGGUGGCUUUUCAAGUCCGCCAUCAAAUCCCAAGGCUCAACCCUGGACAGGCGGUGGAAACUACCAAGCUGGAGUACGGUAGGGGCAGAGGGAACUUCCGGUGGAGCGGUGAAAUGCGUUGAGAUCGGAAAGAACACCAACGGCGAAAGCACCCUGCUGGGCCGACACUGACACUGAGAGACGAAAGCUAGGGGAGCAAAUGGGAUUAGAUACCCCCGUAGUCCCUGUCUCUUAUAC
This 301-nucleotide ribosomal RNA is filed under the name uncultured bacterium. Its description in RNAcentral is "partial 16S ribosomal RNA". It matches the Rfam family "Bacterial small subunit ribosomal RNA", at positions 509 to 807 of the family's 1533-position model. The record is from RNAcentral.